Molecule: long non-coding RNA, 3406 nt
Organism: Aedes albopictus (Asian tiger mosquito)
Lineage: Eukaryota; Metazoa; Arthropoda; Insecta; Diptera; Culicidae
Exons: 2
Source: RefSeq, a predicted model, not a curated record
UGAAAACUCCCAAAAAAAUGACCACGUGGUUUAUGGACAGCCCCUUAGCAUGGAAUUAGCUGUUUUGUGAGUUAAUCGGGCUGCUGCCGCCAGUAGUUCAAAUUAAGAUUAAAAUUGGUUCAAAUUAUGAUUACGAUGGUUCAAAUUAAGAUUAAUAUCAUUGUUGAUGAAAAAUCGAUUAUUUCAAUGAAAUUUGGUGCAAAUACAAACUUUUUACCAUUUAACAGAAAGCGUAUACCCGUGGCUCUCAUGUUCAUAUGAUUUUGCCGUAGUAAAUUAUUUUCAUGUGGGAGAAAAAAUCACUUGAAAUUUGCACUGCUUCAGAAAGCCGCAAUUUGGUUCAAAUUUUGAUUACCUACCCUAUUCGAAGAUUUUUUCCUUUUGUUUUCAGGUUGUUGCAAUAACGAAUUGUUAUUUUUGUGGAGAACGGAAUCGUUCUUUUAUGGUAGAAUGGGAAGCAAUCAGUUGCGUUUAUGCUUGAGUGCUAGAGGGUCUCCAGUUAGCCUAGUGGUUAAGGCUAUGGAUCGCCAAUCCGGAGACGGCGGGUUCGAUUCCCGUUCCGGUCGGCAAAAAAUUCUCGACUCCCUGGGCAUAGUGUAUCAUUGUACUUGCCUCACAAUAUACAAAUUCAUGCAAUGGCAGGCAAAGAAAGCCCUUCAAUUAAUAACUGUGGAAAUGCUCAAAGAACACUAAGUUGAAGCGAGGCAGGCCAAGUCCCAGUGGGGACGUCGUGCCAUAAAGAAGAAGAAGAAGAAGCUAGAGUGCCGGUAAAGGCGCUUUUCUGAUAAAUGCGGUAAACGUGAUAACAGUGUAAAGUAACGGCGAAGGUUCUGCUACGCGAUCGUAUAGACGGCGCUCGUGUUCCACGUGCACGGCGCCGCCUAGCACCAAUCCACACGAAACAUUAUGCACAACACGGGUGGAAAAUGCCUGUCAGGAAAAAUGAGGUAAACAGCUUGAAAUUUGUAUGGCGCUAUCCACAAAUAACGUAACGCUCAAGGGGGAAGGGGGGAGUGCGGCCAAGCGUUACGGUCCAUACAAAAAAUUUAGGACUUUCAUACAAAAAAGCGUUACGGAGGGGGGAGGGAGGGGAGGGGGAAAAAAUGCCGAUUUCAGGGUUACGUAAUAAGUGGAUGCUGCCUAUGUUGGUGCAACAAAUUCUCUAUUACUGCAAUGAAUCCGGAAGAAAAGCACAAGGAGAAUGAUUUUGUUUCUAAUUUGCAACUUUUUGCCCAAGGGUACAAAUCACUGCGAUAGGAACAAGUGCAAGCCAGCGAUUUGUCCAUACAAGAAAAAUGAUUUCACCUCAAAUGUGGUGGUGUCAUCUCUGAGAAAAACAAGCUUUGAUUUCCUCCUAUUUGCCUCGUUAUUUUGAAAAAGCAAAUAUUUAUUUCUACAGAUUUCUACUACACAGACGUAGCUGAAACUUUAGUCGCUUGUGCACCACAAGUGAGCGAAUAAAUGAUCAAAUUUCUGGUCAAUAAUAUAAAGUAAUACACUGAAGUUUUAUUUUACGUUGUACCGCGUAAAAAAACGCGUUAUUUCAAAAAACGUAAAAAAACACGUUAUUUCGAAACCCGUCGUAAAAAACGAGUUUUUCCAAAAAACACGCGCAAAAUAGUCAGGAUUACAUCUAAAGUGACUUGACUUUUUUACGACGUUUUUUUUUUGAAAUAACGCGGGUUUUUACGACGGUUUUUGAAAUAACGCGUUUUUUACGCGGUACCAUUACCGUCGUAAAAAAAACUUCAGUGUAGUUGACUUUUUCAUGCAAAUAGUGACUUUUUAGUGACUGACUCCAAAAGUGACUCACUACCAGGCCUGUUAGUCGAGACGUUAACUGGAUAGGUAUCACAGCACAGCCGAUAUAAUAGAUCCCUAAAAUAACAAAACCGGUCGCUAUGGAAUGAACAGAUAGCGCAACCGUAGCCUUGUGUGUUUGACAUAACUCCACCGCUAUCACAACCCCAUUAAACAUUUUCCCCAUGAAGUCUGUUGAUAAAUCGGCUGAUUGUUGCACCGACGCACAGGGAUCAAACGAUUAAUCACCAGAUUAAUUAGGGUGUUCCGAUGAAAGAUAGUCAAGUUAACGGAUUAGUCGGUUGAUGAUUUUGACAAACUAAAUUAACCUACAGUAACGUCUCCUGUACCGACUUUUCGAACCCUCUAAGCCAGGGGGCAGAGAAGAGAAGGUCAUCUCCCGAGUCAGAAAUUGAUAAAUAUUUCAUGCUGUUGGUCGCGACACCUAGCGGUUGAAGCCACACUUUUUACACGGGAAAUUUCAACCGUGUUGACACGAAUAAGCAAAGUAUUUCGGAGGCAUGUACUCCAACUCAAAAUCUGAUUCGCAAAAAAAAGUGUUUAACUAGAAUGUUUUUGGGUAACACAGUCAAAGUUGGUUAUCUCUUAAAACCGUAAAUAGGGUACGCGAUACAAUAGUGAUGGGAAUAUGUAUGAAAUCGUUAUGAUAAUUAAGAAAAAUUGGCAAAACACCAUUAUGAUGCUUUAUAACAGCCUGCAAUUGCAAAAACAUCUUUGGUACGUGUACCAUAUUAUUGCAAUAGUGGUCGGAACAACAAUUGAUAUGUUCAAUGAAACAAAAUUUCGAAGAAUAAGAUAACUUAUCAUUGAUAUGACGUCAUCUGUUCAUUAAUUUUGAUUAUAUCUGAAAUAAUCAAUACACUUUGACCCAUGCAGUUGUUUUGACGUUUAUACACGAUGGAAACGAAAUGGGCAAAAACAAAAUAGAUCGAGUCGAUUUUUCACGCCUAAAAUUUAUUACUUUUCGUGUGUUCCGUUUGUUCUGAGAUGCCCUUCUCUUCUCUGCAGGGGGGCAGCGAAAGCCAAAAUCCCCGUAGCUCACAACAAAAACACGUCCAAAAUUGUUUGUGCUGUAAAUCGAUGCAUUACACAAUUUCUUACUGAUUUAUUUGCUAUCUUCGCGUUGUCGUGUAAUUUCGAACGAUUGCACGCUAAAAUUUUGAUAACCUUUUGCUAGUUUUACACGUUUUACUCAAGUAAUAACUUAUGGUAAUGACUAAUUCGCAAAUGUCGUUCACAUCCCAGAUCUGUCAGAGUGCCCAAAAGUGUCAAUUUCCCAAACAUGUCAAAUUCAUGUGGACUACGGCUCAUCUAUUCGUGGUUGACGUCCGCGCUGCCCCGCUGCUCUAAGCAGAAUACCCUCUUCGAAUGAGUGUAAUCAGUUUCGUACCUUUUAUUGCUGACUGCACCCCAAAUUGGACUGACACAAUAGUGUGCACACACCUUCAAAGUGUGAUUGCAGCGCAGGGACACGUCGGAUCGAGUUGAGGUCUUCGGUGCACUUAUUCCUUGUAAAUGGAGGAAUAAGUGCACCGAAGACGUCGAGACGAUCCGAGGCAAAUGUGCACUUUUAUCACACUUUUUA